CAGCUGGGAAUACUUGCUAUCGCCAUUUAUAUCACAUUUGUCCCUUAUCUGGUGCGUCUCACUUUUUUUUUCUUUCGUCUGGUGUUACCAGUUUCAACAAGGAAAGCGGAACAAUCGAUAGAACAAUGGCACUGAGCCACAAUUGCAUCGACAUCCUCCUACCCCCUCCAUCUAUUUCCUCUCUUCCUCCACCAGUUUUUUUUUUUUCCCCUGUUAACUUAAAAAGUAACGACAAGCCAACUCGGUUGACUACGCAAUCACACACGCGCUUGGCGGCAGGCAACUGAUGCAAUCGCACAACAUCAGGCAAACACACACAGUGUGGUUGUGAGCUAUGCGUGACAAUGCCAUUCAUCAUUCACCCCGAUUCUCUUACCCAAAUUUUCUUCUAUUACAAUUCCCUGCCGACUGUUAUGGACCGAGAACAGGGAAUGACCGACACGAAACCGACUAACCUUUCACAGUUCCUGCUAGCACCACUUCGCGUGUGUUUUAACUGUAAAAAGAGAGGGGAAAAAAAAAAGUCUGUGUCGAUCCGGACCAACCAUGACUGCGUUAAAAAAAAAUAUAGACCAAGACUAACACAAUUUAAAGAGUUAUUUAAGAACUAAUCAGCCGGAUUGCGUGCGCGUUUAUACGAGAGAGAGAGACGGUGAGCUCCUGGACUUUACGUGGAUACACACAGUCAACCUCCGACAAUGUGUUUUUUUUUUUACGACUUCCUUUUUACACCGUCUCGACUACCACCACACUGGCACAUCAUGUGUAAAAUCUAUAAAAACAGGAAAUAAAACAAUUAGAAGCCUCUCACGCUUUAUUCUUUUGAACAUGUUCUCUCCUGGAAGAAAACGCGCAUUUUUCAAGUUCGGCGGAAGAGAUCAUUUGAACAAACAACGUUAUCGACAAGUUUGAAAAGGCAAUUUACGGAGGAUGACGUCAUGUAAAACAACGUAGAAAGAACUUUGGCAUGAAAAAUAAGAAAAGAUGUGUCUUCCGGUCUGUUCCACCGUCACCACCCGCUGAGACUUGUCCUCCAGCAUACGGCUGUUCUUUUUCUUCUCGUUAAAAAAGAGAGAGAGAGAGAGAAAAAGAAAAAAAGUUUGACUUCUAAAUCGCGCAUAAUCAAAAGAGAUUCCAGCAAUAGCAGCAGCAGCGGUGGAGAGAGCACAAGAAGAAGAUGGUGGAGGAGGAUUGUUACAAGAGAGGAGGUCGAAAACGGGGCUCGCAUACACAGAGAGAGCUGGAGGGGGGGAGGCGGAGGGAGACGAGCAGAAGAUUCGUAUAGGCUAUAAAUUUUACUGCUCUUCCAUUCUAACCUCCCUUGGCUCGCUCGCUUGUGGCUCGUCCUUGUUAGUUGGAAUUUUCAACGCUAUGGAAACAUAUAGCCUACACCGAAGCACAGGGGGGGGAAUAGAGAAAACGGAGGUGGGGAAAGAGAGGGAGGCCAGACAUACAUAUAUACAACAAAAAAAAAAAAGAAAACCUUGGGUUACGUUCUAUCGCUGCGCUCUCUCUCUCGAUUGCUUCGUCGAUGGUCGUCGCCGCCGCCGCUGCUAUUACACCGCCGUUGCCGCUUCUUCUACAGAGCUCUCUCUCUGGCUCACAGUCAGUCUCACAUAGUACAGUCGCUGCGUGCGCUGCUGCCACCAAACGUUUCGAAGGCAACCGGGGAAGAAGGAAAGAGGGAGGAAGGUUUGUGUUACAGAGACCGACCGAUCGCGUGAAUUCCCAUUUCACGUCAACCGACCACCACCACUUACCGUCCCGCACACUGACGUAAAGGUUGCUCAUCAAACGGCUUCCCAUCGUUUGGGGCUUGUCAACUCGGUGGAAAUCUUGGUUUAAUGGAGAACCACGUCAAAUCUUCGACUGCAGCAACAGGAUCAAAGCAGCUACUUGAAUUCGAUUCCGGUUCAUCAUUUGUCAACGUCAUCGACGGCUGGGACAACGAAAUUCAAACCCUUCCAUCUUCCUCACGAUAAUGGAGGUUUCUUGACUGUUCCAUGUUUUUCAUUUUAUGACUGUGUUUCUUGCUCGUGUACCACCGCUACAACUUGCGACUAUCAUGGGUGGACCCUUUCAAAGAAAAACAAGGCAAAAAAAAAAGGGACUAUAAAAACACACAUGUUGUGGAAAAUAAUGGAACGAGAACAAGAGGCAAAAAAAAAAAAAGAGAGGAAAGAUACACAAAACUGGUGAAACACGUGCUGCUACUCUCUCCGACAAACUAAUUUGCUCAUGCGGGGUACGUUGAGUGCGUGUACACGCCCAUCAUAAAAAAAUCAAGGACUAAACAAUUGGCAACUGGAAAAAUAACCUGCUCACUCUAUAGCGACCCAAAACUUUAUUUUCAGGGAGAAAAAAAAAAAAGGGUUUCUCUCGUGACGGCCAAAUGGUUCAGGUUUCUUCGGAGCAAGUGGCUCAAGCUUUUUCCUGGAAAAGUUUGCUUUUUUCUUUUUUUCUCCCAUCGUCUACUCCGAAAUCAUUGAUGGUUUACAAAUCAGCCCUUAACGACAUCGACACAAUUCAAACAAGUCGCGUGACUCAUUGUUUGGUGGCAAACGCCCAGGCAACUGCCUACACAAGUUACGACAAGAAAAAGCAAGAAGCUCUGAUUUUGGAAAAAAACAAAACAAAAUCAGUUGAGGAUUUUUAGCGCGGUCAUGUUUACGGUGAGCCAACAACAGCACAUUGAUGCAAGUCAUCUCUUUCUUAUGAUUAUUAAACAUCUACUCGGUCAUGGAAUUACAUGGAAACAAAAAAUCGACACAUCCCAUUUCAGAGAAAAAAGGCAGAAUAUAUAAUUUCUAAUCAGCAAACACGAACCUGUGUGUUUUCAUCAUGAUCUUUUCAUGUUAACAUUUUUCUCCGUUUCUUUUAAGACAUAAAAAAAAAUGUACUUGAAACCGCUUCUUUUUUACAACGCUAGGUGGCUGCCACGCAAAAUUUCUGGGCAUUAAAAAAAACAAACCGUCUCCUGGCAUACACCCCAGAUCCAGCACUUAAGAAAGCUACCGUUCACCUACACACGUCAUUUGAAGUUGGACUUGAGCUCCCAAACAAAACAAAAAUGAAAACCGAAAACCAGAUUCUUUUUUCUCGUUCCGAUUGGAAUAAUCGAUUGGACCAACGAGAUAAGAUUACGUACAAUGUUCUUCUUGACAAGCCAUCGGAAUCCCAGCGUCAACAGUCACUCGAGAGCCACACCAGAAGAUUUUUACCAUCGCUGAUGUUUCCAUUGACUUCGACAACUCGCCCAGGAAAACAAAAAAUAUGUUCCAUGCUUGCAAGGCAGCCGCUGCUGCAAUGACCUUAUUCCUUUGUUCUAAAUUUGCGCUUGACUUGCACACACACACUCCAGAAGACAUAUCCCCGUGAUAUGUGCUGUCGCAGUCUUUUUUCUUUUUCUAUAUCGAGUUGCUUGGCUGCGUUUGAUGUGGACGAGAUAAAUGGAACGCCCUCCCGCUACCAUUACCGUUGAUGAAUGGAUUUUACUGCUACCCUUCAACCUCCCAGUUAUAAACGCGGGCAUCCGGAAGGAGGGAGCAAGACAUGCACAGUCAAGGAUCCAAAACGAAAACAAACAAUCUUAAAAGACACGAAAUUCAAGUCAAUGAAGAUAAAAGAGAACUUGACAGAAAAACGGAAGGUUCAAGCAGGAACGUCGCAUUCCAUUUCCGGUAUGAAGGCUGACUUUUAAAUCACACACAAAAUAAAGGAAAAAUUUCAGCCACAACUUGGAUUGGACGGACUUCUUGGUGCAGUCAAAAAUAAACAAACAAAACAUUCAAAAAUGAAAGACAAACGAGAAUCGUGUGGACGAUGAAUAAAUAUGAGAUCACAAUCACAGCGUGACAGUUCAUCAUGCUCUACAUCUACCCUGUAGAUCCGAAUUUGUAGUUGCAUCACAAGACAAAUUCGGUUCUAGAGAGGUUCGUGUGGGGCAUAAACAGCUACAUGCUAACGACGUGUUCUCAUCUCCUCGGGCAAAACCACCAUCACUUGAAUCGAUUAUGCAAUUAAUCUAAGAUAUUAUUUUUAUUUUGAACAGUUCGAUUUUGUUUUCGUACUCAACGGAGAUUACAAUACACGCACGAAAGAUAA
This 4104-nucleotide long non-coding RNA is filed under the name Daphnia magna. RNAcentral's name for it is "uncharacterized LOC116923206, transcript variant X4". The stretch from base 3870 to 3943 matches the Rfam family "mir-10 microRNA precursor family". The record is from RNAcentral. Lineage: Eukaryota; Metazoa; Arthropoda; Branchiopoda; Diplostraca; Daphniidae.